Paramuricea clavata is the source of this 427-nucleotide non-coding RNA. NCBI's taxonomy places the organism in Eukaryota, Metazoa, Cnidaria, Anthozoa, Malacalcyonacea, Plexauridae. The record is from the annotation of a GenBank genome assembly.
UGCAUUUAUUAACCUAAAGGUGUUACCAAGCGUGCAAUAUUUUCAUGUAUCAUUAUAGAUUUGUUUCUCUUCCAAUUUGGAAAAACAUUCACUUCUGUACUUUACAAAGACGUCAAAUUGCAGUGCUCUUUUUUCGGUCUCAUGCAAUUUUGAUUGUCUUUGAAAACUAAUUUGUGCAUGUUUUCUUCCAAAUUGCCCCGAAACCAUACUUAUCUAAUAACUGCAUGUGCACAUUAUCAUAUGUAUAGAGAUUUCUUAAUGGGAAGUGCUGACGUUAAUUAACAAGUGCGAAAAUACAAUACAAAAGCAUGCACUUCCUAUUACUAAAUUUGUUUAUUUUAUAGAUACUGAUAUUUUCUAUUAGAUGGAUUGCCUUUAUUUAACGUAAUUUGGUUAAUUCAAAAGACAAAGGCCAUGCAAAGUCAAG